RNAcentral lists this transfer RNA (77 nucleotides) under Alphaproteobacteria bacterium. Its description in RNAcentral is "tRNA-Asp". It matches the Rfam family "tRNA". From Rfam's summary of the family: Transfer RNA (tRNA) molecules are approximately 80 nucleotides in length. Their secondary structure includes four short double-helical elements and three loops (D, anti-codon, and T loops). Further hydrogen bonds mediate the characteristic L-shaped molecular structure. tRNAs have two regions of fundamental functional importance: the anti-codon, which is responsible for specific mRNA codon recognition, and the 3' end, to which the tRNAs corresponding amino acid is attached (by aminoacyl-tRNA synthetases). tRNAs cope with the degeneracy of the genetic code in two manners: having more than one tRNA (with a specific anti-codon) for a particular amino acid; and 'wobble' base-pairing, i.e. permitting non-standard base-pairing at the 3rd anti-codon position. Lineage: Bacteria; Pseudomonadati; Pseudomonadota; Alphaproteobacteria. RNAcentral also lists the same sequence under 1 other name. The record is from RNAcentral.
GCGGGUGUAGCUCAGUUGGUUAGAGCGCCGGCCUGUCACGCCGGAGGCCGCGGGUUCGAGCCCCGUCACUCGCGCCA